AGGAGAAAGUUGAAUCUAAAAGAAGCUGCUAACUAUCUUUUAAGGCGGUUAAAAUCCGUCUUUCUCCUA
This 69-nucleotide transfer RNA is filed under the name Pylorgus porrectus. RNAcentral's name for it is "tRNA-Ser". Lineage: Eukaryota; Metazoa; Arthropoda; Insecta; Hemiptera; Lygaeidae. RNAcentral also lists the same sequence under 1 other name. The record is from RNAcentral.